AUUGAACGCUGGCGGCAGGCCUAACACAUGCAAGUCGAGCGGAGCGGCGGACGGGGGCGUGAUGCCUAUGACUCUGCCUGUGAGUGGGGGAUAACGUCCGGAAACGGGCGCUGAUACCGCAUCCUCUCAGAUGCGCCUAGGUCGGAUUAGCUAGUUGGUGGGGUAAAGGCAUACCAAGGCGACGAUCCGUAACUGGUCUGAGAGGAUGAUCAGUCACACUGGAACUGAGACACGGUCCAGACUCCUACGUGAGGCAGCAGUGGGGAAUAUUGGACAAUGGGCGAAAGCCUGAUCCAGCCAUGCCGCGUGUGUGAAGAAGGUCUUCGGAUUGCAAAGCACUUUAAGUUGGGAGGCGUUACCAACAGAAUAAGCACCGGCUAACUCCGUGCCAGCCGCCGCGGUAAUUC
This 407-nucleotide ribosomal RNA is filed under the name uncultured bacterium. RNAcentral describes it as "partial 16S ribosomal RNA". It matches the Rfam family "Bacterial small subunit ribosomal RNA", at positions 30 to 526 of the family's 1533-position model. The record is from RNAcentral.